Molecule: ribosomal RNA, 626 nt
Filed under: Enterococcus faecalis
Lineage: Bacteria; Bacillati; Bacillota; Bacilli; Lactobacillales; Enterococcaceae
Description: bacterial SSU rRNA
Rfam family: Bacterial small subunit ribosomal RNA
Source: RNAcentral
CGAGUGCUUGCACUCAAUUGGAAAGAGGAGUGGCGGACGGGUGAGUAACACGUGGGUAACCUACCCAUCAGAGGGGGAUAACACUUGGAAACAGGUGCUAAUACCGCAUAACAGUUUAUGCCGCAUGGCAUAAGAGUGAAAGGCGCUUUCGGGUGUCGCUGAUGGAUGGACCCGCGGUGCAUUAGCUAGUUGGUGAGGUAACGGCUCACCAAGGCCACGAUGCAUAGCCGACCUGAGAGGGUGAUCGGCCACACUGGGACUGAGACACGGCCCAGACUCCUACGGGAGGCAGCAGUAGGGAAUCUUCGGCAAUGGACGAAAGUCUGACCGAGCAACGCCGCGUGAGUGAAGAAGGUUUUCGGAUCGUAAAACUCUGUUGUUAGAGAAGAACAAGGACGUUAGUAACUGAACGUCCCCUGACGGUAUCUAACCAGAAAGCCACGGCUAACUACGUGCCAGCAGCCGCGGUAAUACGUAGGUGGCAAGCGUUGUCCGGAUUUAUUGGGCGUAAAGCGAGCGCAGGCGGUUUCUUAAGUCUGAUGUGAAAGCCCCCGGCUCAACCGGGGAGGGUCAUUGGAAACUGGGAGACUUGAGUGCAGAAGAGGAGAGUGGAAUUCCUGGUUAUA